This 484-nucleotide ribosomal RNA is filed under the name uncultured bacterium. RNAcentral describes it as "partial 16S ribosomal RNA". It matches the Rfam family "Bacterial small subunit ribosomal RNA", at positions 30 to 507 of the family's 1533-position model. The record is from RNAcentral.
AUUGAACGCUGGCGGCAGGCCUAACACAUGCAAGUCGAGCGGAUGAAGGGAGCUUGCUCCUGGCUUCAGCGGCGGACGGGUGAGUAAUGCCUAGGAAUCUGCCUGGUAGUGGGGGAUAACGUCCGGAAACGGGCGCUAAUACCGCAUACGUCCUGAGGGAGAAAGUGGGGGAUCUUCGGACCUCACGCUAUCAGAUGAGCCUAGGUCGGAUUAGCUAGUUGGUGGGGUAAAGGCCUACCAAGGCGACGAUCCGUAACUGGUCUGAGAGGAUGAUCAGUCACACUGGAACUGAGACACGGUCCAGACUCCUACGGGAGGCAGCAGUGGGGAAUAUUGGACAAUGGGCGAAAGCCUGAUCCAGCAAUGCCGCGUGUGUGAAGAAGGUCUUCGGAUUGUAAAGCACUUUAAGUUGGGAGGAAGGGCAGUAAGUUAAUACCUUGCUGUUUUGACGUUACCAACAGAAUAAGCACCGGCUAACUUCGUG